Molecule: transfer RNA, 72 nt
Filed under: Camelus dromedarius (Arabian camel)
Lineage: Eukaryota; Metazoa; Chordata; Mammalia; Artiodactyla; Camelidae
Also listed under: 1 other name
Rfam family: tRNA
About the family: Transfer RNA (tRNA) molecules are approximately 80 nucleotides in length. Their secondary structure includes four short double-helical elements and three loops (D, anti-codon, and T loops).
Source: Rfam by way of RNAcentral
GAGGGUAUGGCUCAGAGGCAGAGUGCAUGCUUAGCACGCGAGAGGUCCUGGGUUCAAUCCUCAGUACCGUCA